This 610-nucleotide ribosomal RNA is filed under the name uncultured bacterium. RNAcentral describes it as "bacterial SSU rRNA". It matches the Rfam family "Bacterial small subunit ribosomal RNA", at positions 70 to 712 of the family's 1533-position model. The record is from RNAcentral.
GAGAGAGAGUUUACUUUUUCGAGCGAGUGGCGAACGGGUGAGUAACGCGUGAGGACCUGCCUCAAAGAGGGGGACAACAGUUGGAAACGACUGCUAAUACCGCAUAAGCCGGCAUCGGAAAAGGAGCAAUCCGCUUUGAGAUGGCCUCGCGUCCGAUUAGCUAGUUGGUGAGGUAACGGCCCACCAAGGCGACGAUCGGUAGCCGGACUGAGAGGUUGAACGGCCACAUUGGGACUGAGACACGGCCCAGACUCCUACGGGAGGCAGCAGUGGGGAAUAUUGCACAAUGGGGGAAACCCUGAUGCAGCGACGCCGCGUGGAGGAAGAAGGUCUUCGGAUUGUAAACUCCUGUUGUUGAGGAAGAUAAUGACGGUACUCAACAAGGAAGUGACGGCUAACUACGUGCCAGCAGCCGCGGUAAAACGUAGGUCACAAGCGUUGUCCGGAAUUACUGGGUGUAAAGGGAGCGCAGGCGGGAAGACAAGUUGGAAGUGAAAUCCAUGGGCUCAACCCAUGAACUGCUUUCAAAACUGUUUUUCUUGAGUAGUGCAGAGGUAGGCGGAAUUCCCGGUGUAGCGGUGGAAUGCGUAGAUAUCGGGAGGAACACCAG